This 483-nucleotide long non-coding RNA is filed under the name Monodelphis domestica (gray short-tailed opossum). RNAcentral describes it as "lncRNA (ENSMODG00000037282.1)". Lineage: Eukaryota; Metazoa; Chordata; Mammalia; Didelphimorphia; Didelphidae. The record is from RNAcentral.
CUUUAAGGCCAGACAGAAUCUUGGGAAGGUUGCUGGUUGGAAUUCUGGGUUGCCUGAGUCAGUUGGUUUUCUAACUGCCAAGGAGUCCUGGACGUUUUUUUUCCUAGGUGGAGGUUGGCAUUUUGUUCCUUGGAACACUGAAAAAUCCCAGUGGUAGAUGAAGGAGAAGAACAGUAGAGACAUGGCUGGUGGUAGCGUGCUGUGCAUCUUGGUGUCUUGGAAUCUUGGUGUGCUGGUAGCUCUUGUCUGGGCUUGGCAUGAACAUGCUAGAUUGAAAAAAACACAGAAAACAAAAUUACCUUCUGAAGAUCAGAAGUGGAGACCAGGAGAAGCUAGUUAAUGGGAGAAGGAAGCUGGAGAUUUGAGAGGAUGCUCUAGGUUGGAGGUUCCAGACACAAUUUAAAGAUUCAGGGUGAAAUCACAAUGUAGAUAGUUAGCAGAAUUCAGAAAGCCAAAAAUCUAUUAAACUUUGAUAGUUCAAAU